AGGACGAACGCUGGCGGCGUGCUUAACACAUGCAAGUCGAGCGGAAAGGCCCUUCGGGGUACUCGAGCGGCGAACGGGUGAGUAACACGUGAGCAAUCUGCCCUUAGCUUCGGGAUAGCCCCGGGAAACCGGGAUUAAUACCGAAUAUGACCUCGGCCGACAUCGGCUUUGGUGGAAAGUUUUUCGGCUAGGGAUGAACUCGCGGCCUAUCAGCUUGUUGGUGGGGUAAUGGCCUACCAAGGCGACGACGGGUAGCCGGCCUGAGAGGGCGACCGGCCACACUGGGACUGAGACACGGCCCAGACUCCUACGGGAGGCAGCAGUGGGGAAUAUUGCGCAAUGGGCGAAAGCCUGACGCAGCGACGCCGCGUGGGGGAUGAAGGCCUUCGGGUUGUAAACCCCUUUCAGCAGGGACGAAGCGAGAGUGACGGUACCUGCAGAAGAAGCGCCGGCUAACUACGUGCCAGCAGCC
RNAcentral lists this ribosomal RNA (472 nucleotides) under uncultured bacterium. RNAcentral's name for it is "SSU rRNA". It matches the Rfam family "Bacterial small subunit ribosomal RNA", at positions 26 to 516 of the family's 1533-position model. The record is from RNAcentral.